CAGCAGUCGAGAAUCAUUCACAAUGGAGGAAACCCUGAAGGUGCGACGCCGCGUGGGAAAAUGAUGGUCUUCGGCUUGUGGGCCCCUGUCUUGUGGGGGCGGGUUGUNGNGGUUGUUCCUCGUGUGGGGGUGCCGGCUUNCUCUGUGCCCGCCGCCGCGGUUUUCCCGUGGUCUCCGGCGUUGUUCGGUUUCUCUGGGCGUUNNGCGUGCGUCGGCGGUUUCGUCNGUCGUGUGUGGNNGGCGGGGGCUCCUCCCCCGGUCUGCUCUUGGUNCUGCGCGUCUGGGGUGCUGGUGGGGGUGCCGGGNUUCUCGGUGUUGCUGUGNNNUGCGUUGNUUUCGGGAGGGCCUCUCGUGGCGCCGGCGGGUUCCUGGGCUUUNUCUGNCGCUGUGGCUCGUUGGCCUGGGGCGCCCUACAAGAGUCGCUCCCCCUGUNGUCCUGGCUGUUUUCGCCCCCCCAGGGGGUGCGGGGAAUCGACCCCCUGCGUGCCGGAGCUAACGCAUUAAGCGUGCCGCCUGGGGAGUACGGUCGCCAAGAUUAAAAACUCAAAGAAAUUGACGGGGACCCGCACAAGCGGGUGGAGUAUGUGGCUUAAUUCGAUGCAACGCGAAGAACCUUACCUGGGCUUGACAUGUAAUGAACAACAUGUGAAAGCAUGCGACUCUUCGGAGGCGUUACACAGGUGCUGCAUGGCCGUCGUCAGCUCGUGUCGUGAGAUGUUUGGUUAAGUCCAGCAACGAGCGCAACCCCUGUUGCCAGUUACCAGCACGUAAAGGUGGGGACUCUGGCGAGACUGCCCAGAUCAACUGGGAGGAAGGUGGGGACGACGUCAGGUCAGUAUGGCCCUUAUGCCCAGGGCUGCACACGUACUACAAUGCCCAGUACAGAGGGGGCCGAAGCCGCGAGGCGGAGGAAAUCCUAAAA
This 922-nucleotide ribosomal RNA is filed under the name uncultured bacterium. RNAcentral describes it as "bacterial SSU rRNA". It matches the Rfam family "Bacterial small subunit ribosomal RNA", at positions 349 to 1279 of the family's 1533-position model. The record is from RNAcentral.